UUCUACUGAAGACAAAGAAAAAUCUGCAAAGAGGCAAAGUAUGCUAGAAGAGAUUGAACGUGAAUUUGAAGCUGCAACAAAAGAUCUUAAACAUCUACAUGAUUU
Molecule: non-coding RNA, 105 nt
Organism: Camelina sativa (false flax)
Lineage: Eukaryota; Viridiplantae; Streptophyta; Magnoliopsida; Brassicales; Brassicaceae
Source: RefSeq, a predicted model, not a curated record